This 460-nucleotide ribosomal RNA is filed under the name uncultured bacterium. RNAcentral describes it as "partial 16S ribosomal RNA". It matches the Rfam family "Bacterial small subunit ribosomal RNA", at positions 338 to 795 of the family's 1533-position model. The record is from RNAcentral.
CCUACGGGUGGCAGCAGUGAGGAAUAUUGGUCAAUGGCCGAGAGGCUGAACCAGCCAAGUCGCGUGAGGGAAGACGGCCCUACGGGGUGUAAACCUCUUUUGUCGGGGAGCAAAGCGAACCACGUGUGGUUCAUUGGGAGUACCCGAAGAAAAAGCAUCGGCUAACUCCGUGCCAGCAGCCGCGGUAAUACGGAGGAUGCGAGCGUUAUCCGGAUUUAUUGGGUUUAAAGGGUGCGUAGGCGGGCAUUUAAGCCGGCGGUCAAAUGUCGGGGCUCAACCGUAAAAUUGCAGUUGAAACUGGCAGUCUUGAGUACAGUAGAGGUGGGCGGAAUUCGUGGUGUAGCGGUGAAAUGCUUAGAUAUCACGAAGAACUCCGAUUGCGAAGGCAGUUCACUGGACUGCAACUGACACUGAGGCUCGAAAGUGUGGGUAUCAAACAGGAUUAGAUACCCUAGUAGUC